This is a long non-coding RNA of Anopheles coluzzii, 1153 nucleotides long. RefSeq lists it as uncharacterized. Lineage: Eukaryota; Metazoa; Arthropoda; Insecta; Diptera; Culicidae. The record is from RefSeq and is a predicted model, not a curated record. The transcript is spliced from 2 exons.
CAAUAGCCACACACCACUAGCCUUUCUUCAUCAUCCACACAACAGAGACACACACACACAUCCAAAACCACAGCUAACUUCUUUUGAGGCGGGCUACGUGAUCUCACCACACCGCACCAAUACUACCACCACAGCAAGCGCGAUCGUCUGUCUCGUUCGACCGUGUACGCCCGGUCGUCACACACAUAUUUACGUCAUCCCGUUUUCGCUCUCAUAGCACACCGCAGCACCCGUGCCCGUGUUUGAAGUGUGUGUCUUUUGCCUCUGAAUCCACCAACUGGCGAAAACCCAAGCUACAACACUCCAUUAUUGCGCGCUUCAUUCCACUCUCACUCACACUCACGAGCGUGCACACGCGCGCAUGUACGGUGCAACCUAAUAACUGUUGGCAUCUCGCUCUCCACCAUAAAAGCCACAAUUUGGCGACGCGCCAGCCUCACAUGCAGCCCUUUUCUCGUGUAUGUGUGUGUGUGUGCGUUAUUUGAGCGGUGUUUUAAUCUUGCGUCCGUAGCCGUUUUCUCACUCAUUCUCUCCCACUAAGCGACCUGUGCCUUUUUAUGUUUCUUGCAACUACUGAGAGACCGGAGAGACUGACUGGUCCCUACAUUCAUGCGAUGACGGAACAGACACACCGACCACCCUGUAUGUGUGUGUGUGUUUGUGUCUAGGGCCUUUUUGGUCAACCCCCUCACCCGCUUUCACACGCCUUUCGGCGUCUCAUGUCUAAAACCACACACAGCAUGCGCUUGCCGGCAAUGGAUACACGGCUCCUACUGCACUGGAGAGAAUGAGGGCGCACUCACUGGACAGACAAGGACAAGGUACGUGUGUAGCGCCACAGCCAACCGAGAGUAGGCGGUGAAUCAACCGAGGCUAGGAGGUUCACAGUUCCUCAACUACACACAUCGUAGUAAUUCGUUCGUUUUGCACCCCCGAAACGGUUAAUUCUGCGGCUGGUGGAUUAGAGUCCUUUAGCCGUUUUGAAAACCUAUAUGAAAGGUAAUUCCUCCAUCGCUAUCCCCUAAAUCGCAUAAAGCUCUCCGCACAACAGUUGCUGCUGGCACGCCACGAUUGGGAACGUAAUAAUCUUAUAUAACUUAUAUUCGCAUGCCUGCAUGUGACGAAUAAAUUCAUCUCACCAUCCAACCCAAGA